CAGACUCCUAGACAUUUCAACGGUAUAUGGACCGACAUGGCAACCAAAAAGACCGUUAUAAUAGCCUCAAGGGGAUCCGGUGGCGAUGUAUAGGCAUAACAAAUCAAAAGUCUGCGCUUGUUAGAUGGACCCUUACUAGACAUUUCCUAAAAUCCCUUAGUCGUGUAAUGCUGGAAAGAUGCAAAUUCACACGAGGAAACAAAACCAACAGCAAUGAAAGGAGAUGAAGAUAGAUAUAGGACGAUGUGGUAUGAGUGCCAAUGAGGCAACUCUCUAUCCAAG
RNAcentral lists this long non-coding RNA (282 nucleotides) under Mytilus galloprovincialis (Mediterranean mussel). The record is from RNAcentral. Lineage: Eukaryota; Metazoa; Mollusca; Bivalvia; Mytilida; Mytilidae.